RNAcentral lists this ribosomal RNA (1019 nucleotides) under uncultured organism. RNAcentral's name for it is "bacterial SSU rRNA". It matches the Rfam family "Bacterial small subunit ribosomal RNA", at positions 355 to 1375 of the family's 1533-position model. The record is from RNAcentral.
UGAGGAAUAUUGGUCAAUGGACCAGAGUCUGAACCAGCCAAGUAGCGUGAAGGAUGAAGGUUCUAUGGAUUGUAAACUUCUUUUAUACGGGAAUAAACGAAUCCACGCGUGGAUUUUUGCAUGUACCGUAUGAAUAAGGAUCGGCUAACUCCGUGCCAGCAGCCGCGGUAAUACGGAGGAUCCGAGCGUUAUCCGGAUUUAUUGGGUUUAAAGGGAGCGUAGAUGGGUUGUUAAGUCAGUUGUGAAAGUUUGCGGCUCAACCGUAAAAUUGCAAUUGAUACUGGCAGUCUUGAGUACAGUUGAGGUAGGCGGAAUUCGUGGUGUAGCGGUGAAAUGCUUAGAUAUCACGAAGAACUCCGAUUGCGAAGGCAGCUUACUAACCUGUAACUGACAUUGAUGCUCGAAAGUGUGGGUAUCAAACAGGAUUAGAUACCCUGGUAGUCCACACGGUAAACGAUGAAUACUCGCUGUAGGCGAUAUACAGUCUGCGGCCAAGCGAAAGCAUUAAGUAUUCCACCUGGGGAGUACGCCGGCAACGGUGAAACUCAAAGGAAUUGACGGGGGCCCGCACAAGCGGAGGAACAUGUGGUUUAAUUCGAUGAUACGCGAGGAACCUUACCCGGGCUUAAAUUGCAACCGAAUAUGGCGGAAACGCUAUAGCUAGCAAUAGCGGUUGUGAAGGUGCUGCAUGGUUGUCGUCAGCUCGUGCCGUGAGGUGUCGGCUUAAGUGCCAUAACGAGCGCAACCCUUGCCGAUAGUUACUAACAGGUUAUGCUGAGGACUCUGUCGGGACUGCCAUCGUAAGAUGUGAGGAAGGUGGGGAUGACGUCAAAUCAGCACGGCCCUUACGUCCGGGGCUACACACGUGUUACAAUGGGGGGUACAGAGGGCUGCUACCACGCAAGUGGAUGCCAAUCCCAAAAACCUCUCUCAGUUCGGAUUGAAGUCUGCAACCCGACUUCAUGAAGCUGGAUUCGCUAGUAAUCGCGCAUCAGCCACGGCGCGGUGAAUACGUUCCC